This 334-nucleotide unclassified non-coding RNA is filed under the name soil metagenome. RNAcentral describes it as "partial contains 5.8S ribosomal RNA, internal transcribed spacer 2, and large subunit ribosomal RNA". The stretch from base 1 to 121 matches the Rfam family "5.8S ribosomal RNA", at positions 35 to 154 of the family's 154-position model. The record is from RNAcentral.
GAUGAAGAACGCAGCGAAAUGCGAUAAGUAAUGCGAAUUGCAGAAUUUCCGUGAAUCAUCGAAUCUUUGAACGCACAUUGCGCCUGCCAGCACUCUGGCAGGCAUGCCUGUUCGAGCGUCAUUUCAACCAUCAAGCCCUAGGCUUGCGUUGGAGCCCUGCGGCUGCCGCAGGCCCCUAAAAGCAGUGGCGGGCUCGCUAUCACACCGAGUGCAGUAGAUUACUCUUCGCUCAGGGCGUGUGGCGGGUUCCAGCCGUGAAACCCCCUACUUCUCAAGGUUGACCUCGGAUCAGGUAGGAAUACCCGCUGAACUUAAGCAUAUCAAAAGCGGAGGA